AACGAACGCUGGCGGCAGGCUUAACACAUGCAAGUCGAGCGCCUCGCAAGAGGAGCGGCAGACGGGUGAGUAACGCGUGGGAACGUACCCUUAUCUUCGGAAUAGCUCUGGGAAACUGGAAGUAAUACCGAAUGUGCCCUUAGGGGGAAAGAUUUAUCGGAUAAGGAUCGGCCCGCGUUGGAUUAGCUAGUUGGUGGGGUAAAGGCCUACCAAGGCGACGAUCCAUAGCUGGUCUGAGAGGAUGAUCAGCCACAUUGGGACUGAGACACGGCCCAAACUCCUACGGGAGGCAGCAGCGGGGAAUAUUGGACAAUGGGCGCAAGCCUGAUCCAGCCAUGCCGCGUGAGUGAUGAAGGCCUUAGGGUUGUAAAGCUCUUUCACCGGAGAAGAUAAUGACGGUAGCCGGAGAAGAAGCCCCGGCUAACUUCGUG
This 431-nucleotide ribosomal RNA is filed under the name uncultured bacterium. Its description in RNAcentral is "partial 16S ribosomal RNA". It matches the Rfam family "Bacterial small subunit ribosomal RNA", at positions 29 to 507 of the family's 1533-position model. The record is from RNAcentral.